Molecule: ribosomal RNA, 1496 nt
Filed under: Spilasma duodecimguttata
Lineage: Eukaryota; Metazoa; Arthropoda; Arachnida; Araneae; Araneidae
Description: SSU rRNA
Rfam family: Eukaryotic small subunit ribosomal RNA
Source: RNAcentral
UCAUAUGCUUGUCUCAAAGAUUAAGCCAUGCAUGUCUAAGUACAUGCCGUAUUAAGGCGAAACCGCGAAUGGCUCAUUAAAUCAGUUAUGGUUCCUUGGAUCGUACCUUACUACUUGGAUAACUGUGGCAAUUCUAGAGCUAAUACAUGCAGCAGAGCUCCGACCUUCGGGAACGAGCGCUUUUAUUAGACCAAAWCCAAUCGGACCUCGUGUCCGUCUCUUGUGGUGACUCUGUAUAACUUUGGGCUGAUCGCACGGGCUCGUCCCGGCGACGUAUCUUUCAAGUGUCUGCCUUAUCAACUGUCGAUGGUAGGUUACGCGCCUACCAUGGUCGUAACGGGUAACGGGGAAUCAGGGUUCGAUUCCGGAGAGGGAGCCUGAGAAACGGCUACCACAUCCAAGGAAGGCAGCAGGCGCGCAAAUUACCCACUCCCAGAACGGGGAGGUAGUGACGAAAAAUAACAAUACGGGACUCUUUUGAGACCCCGUAAUUGGAAUGAGUACACUCUAAAUCCUUUAACGAGGAUCCAUUGGAGAACAAGUCCGGUGCCAGCACUCGCGGUAAUUCCGGCUCCAAUAGCGUAUAUUAAAGUUGUUGCGGUUAAAAAGCUCGUAGUUGGAUCUCAGCUCAGGCCGGACGGUCCGCCUNCCGGUGGUCACUGUUCGAGUCGAGUGUUCCGGCGGUUUCCUCUGAUGAUCUUCNCCGGUUGUCUCGGGUGACCCCCAAGUUUACUUUGAAAAAAUUANAGUGCUCAAAGCAGACGUGACGUCUGAAUACUUGUGCAUGGAAUAAUAGAAUAGGACCUCGGUUCUAUUUUGUUGGUUCUCGGAACACGAGGUAAUGAUUCUUAAAGGAAUUGACGGAAGGGCACCACCAGAAAUGGGGCCUGCGGCUUAAUUUGACUCAACACGGGAAAUCUUACCCGGCCCGGACACAGGAAGGAUUGACAGAUUAAGAGCUCUUUCUUGAUUCUGUGGGUGGUGGUGCAUGGCCGUUCUUAGUUGGUGGGGCGACUUGUCUGGUUAAUUCCGAUAACGAACGAGACUCUAGCCUACUAAAUAGACGAUCCGAUCCUUCUAGUCGGACGCUCUUCUUAGAGGGACAAGCGGCGUUUAGCCGCACGAGACAGAGCAAUAACAGGUCUGGGAUGCCCUUAGAUGUCCGGGGCCGCACGCGCGCCACAUUGAAGGAAUCAGCGUGUGCUCUCCCUGUCCGAAAGGACUGGGUAACCCGUUGAAACUCCUUCGUGCUGGGGAUAGAACCUUGCAAUGGGUUCUUGAACGAGGAAUUCCCAGUAAGCACGAGUCAUCAGCUCGUGUUGAUUACGUCCCUGCCCUUUGUGCACACCGCCCGUCGCUACUACCGAUUGAAUGAAUUAGUGAGGUCUUCGGACUGGCGCACGAAUUGGCCUUCGGGUCGAGUCGUCGUGCCGGAAAGAUGACCAAACUUGUUUAUUUAGAGGAAGUAAAAGUCGUAACAAGGUUUUCGUAGGUGA